RNAcentral lists this ribosomal RNA (2834 nucleotides) under Staphylococcus aureus subsp. aureus SA268. RNAcentral describes it as "bacterial LSU rRNA". It matches the Rfam family "Bacterial large subunit ribosomal RNA". The record is from RNAcentral. Lineage: Bacteria; Bacillati; Bacillota; Bacilli; Caryophanales; Staphylococcaceae.
GAUUAAGUUAUUAAGGGCGCACGGUGGAUGCCUUGGCACUAGAAGCCGAUGAAGGACGUUACUAACGACGAUAUGCUUUGGGGAGCUGUAAGUAAGCUUUGAUCCAGAGAUUUCCGAAUGGGGAAACCCAGCAUGAGUUAUGUCAUGUUAUCGAUAUGUGAAUACAUAGCAUAUCAGAAGGCACACCCGGAGAACUGAAACAUCUUAGUACCCGGAGGAAGAGAAAGAAAAUUCGAUUCCCUUAGUAGCGGCGAGCGAAACGGGAAGAGCCCAAACCAACAAGCUUGCUUGUUGGGGUUGUAGGACACUCUAUACGGAGUUACAAAGGACGACAUUAGACGAAUCAUCUGGAAAGAUGAAUCAAAGAAGGUAAUAAUCCUGUAGUCGAAAAUGUUGUCUCUCUUGAGUGGAUCCUGAGUACGACGGAGCACGUGGAAUUCCGUCGGAAUCUGGGAGGACCAUCUCCUAAGGCUAAAUACUCUCUAGUGACCGAUAGUGAACCAGUACCGUGAGGGAAAGGUGAAAAGCACCCCGGAAGGGGAGUGAAAUAGAACCUGAAACCGUGUGCUUACAAGUAGUCAGAGCCCGUUAAUGGGUGAUGGCGUGCCUUUUGUAGAAUGAACCGGCGAGUUACGAUUUGAUGCAAGGUUAAGCAGUAAAUGUGGAGCCGUAGCGAAAGCGAGUCUGAAUAGGGCGUUUAGUAUUUGGUCGUAGACCCGAAACCAGGUGAUCUACCCUUGGUCAGGUUGAAGUUCAGGUAACACUGAAUGGAGGACCGAACCGACUUACGUUGAAAAGUGAGCGGAUGAACUGAGGGUAGCGGAGAAAUUCCAAUCGAACCUGGAGAUAGCUGGUUCUCUCCGAAAUAGCUUUAGGGCUAGCCUCAAGUGAUGAUUAUUGGAGGUAGAGCACUGUUUGGACGAGGGGCCCCUCUCGGGUUACCGAAUUCAGACAAACUCCGAAUGCCAAUUAAUUUAACUUGGGAGUCAGAACAUGGGUGAUAAGGUCCGUGUUCGAAAGGGAAACAGCCCAGACCACCAGCUAAGGUCCCAAAAUAUAUGUUAAGUGGAAAAGGAUGUGGCGUUGCCCAGACAACUAGGAUGUUGGCUUAGAAGCAGCCAUCAUUUAAAGAGUGCGUAAUAGCUCACUAGUCGAGUGACACUGCGCCGAAAAUGUACCGGGGCUAAACAUAUUACCGAAGCUGUGGAUUGUCCUUUGGACAAUGGUAGGAGAGCGUUCUAAGGGCGUUGAAGCAUGAUCGUAAGGACAUGUGGAGCGCUUAGAAGUGAGAAUGCCGGUGUGAGUAGCGAAAGACGGGUGAGAAUCCCGUCCACCGAUUGACUAAGGUUUCCAGAGGAAGGCUCGUCCGCUCUGGGUUAGUCGGGUCCUAAGCUGAGGCCGACAGGCGUAGGCGAUGGAUAACAGGUUGAUAUUCCUGUACCACCUAUAAUCGUUUUAAUCGAUGGGGGGACGCAGUAGGAUAGGCGAAGCGUGCGAUUGGAUUGCACGUCUAAGCAGUAAGGCUGAGUAUUAGGCAAAUCCGGUACUCGUUAAGGCUGAGCUGUGAUGGGGAGAAGACAUUGUGUCUUCGAGUCGUUGAUUUCACACUGCCGAGAAAAGCCUCUAGAUAGAAAAUAGGUGCCCGUACCGCAAACCGACACAGGUAGUCAAGAUGAGAAUUCUAAGGUGAGCGAGCGAACUCUCGUUAAGGAACUCGGCAAAAUGACCCCGUAACUUCGGGAGAAGGGGUGCUCUUUAGGGUUAACGCCCAGAAGAGCCGCAGUGAAUAGGCCCAAGCGACUGUUUAUCAAAAACACAGGUCUCUGCUAAACCGUAAGGUGAUGUAUAGGGGCUGACGCCUGCCCGGUGCUGGAAGGUUAAGAGGAGUGGUUAGCUUCUGCGAAGCUACGAAUCGAAGCCCCAGUAAACGGCGGCCGUAACUAUAACGGUCCUAAGGUAGCGAAAUUCCUUGUCGGGUAAGUUCCGACCCGCACGAAAGGCGUAACGAUUUGGGCACUGUCUCAACGAGAGACUCGGUGAAAUCAUAGUACCUGUGAAGAUGCAGGUUACCCGCGACAGGACGGAAAGACCCCGUGGAGCUUUACUGUAGCCUGAUAUUGAAAUUCGGCACAGCUUGUACAGGAUAGGUAGGAGCCUUUGAAACGUGAGCGCUAGCUUACGUGGAGGCGCUGGUGGGAUACUACCCUAGCUGUGUUGGCUUUCUAACCCGCACCACUUAUCGUGGUGGGAGACAGUGUCAGGCGGGCAGUUUGACUGGGGCGGUCGCCUCCUAAAAGGUAACGGAGGCGCUCAAAGGUUCCCUCAGAAUGGUUGGAAAUCAUUCAUAGAGUGUAAAGGCAUAAGGGAGCUUGACUGCGAGACCUACAAGUCGAGCAGGGUCGAAAGACGGACUUAGUGAUCCGGUGGUUCCGCAUGGAAGGGCCAUCGCUCAACGGAUAAAAGCUACCCCGGGGAUAACAGGCUUAUCUCCCCCAAGAGUUCACAUCGACGGGGAGGUUUGGCACCUCGAUGUCGGCUCAUCGCAUCCUGGGGCUGUAGUCGGUCCCAAGGGUUGGGCUGUUCGCCCAUUAAAGCGGUACGCGAGCUGGGUUCAGAACGUCGUGAGACAGUUCGGUCCCUAUCCGUCGUGGGCGUAGGAAAUUUGAGAGGAGCUGUCCUUAGUACGAGAGGACCGGGAUGGACAUACCUCUGGUGUACCAGUUGUCGUGCCAACGGCAUAGCUGGGUAGCUAUGUGUGGACGGGAUAAGUGCUGAAAGCAUCUAAGCAUGAAGCCCCCCUCAAGAUGAGAUUUCCCAACUUCGGUUAUAAGAUC